RNAcentral lists this unclassified non-coding RNA (1168 nucleotides) under Hevea brasiliensis (rubber tree). Lineage: Eukaryota; Viridiplantae; Streptophyta; Magnoliopsida; Malpighiales; Euphorbiaceae. The record is from RNAcentral.
CUGCAAGCAAAUACCUACAUAGGUGGUACUGGAAUACGUUCAUCUCACAAGAACGACUUAAUCAAAUAAGUAAAGUGAAUGCCCAAACAUAAACUUAGACAAAAUCAAGCUUUCAUUAUGCAUAGAAAGAUAUUGCAUAGACACGCCACUACAGCCAAGGAAACGAUCAAGAAGAACACACGGCACAAAAUCAUUCACAUAUCAGAUGUGCUACAGAAAGGAAGGGAAUACCCCAUAGCUUUUAUACAAUGGAUAUCCCCACACUUCCUAAUCCAACCCAAACUUAAAUCUUUCAAGAGCACAAUUAGAAACAUUGGGUUUAACAAUACCACUGAGAUUGUAAUCUCAUUCAGAUUUACUAGAGGUCGAGUCAGUGGCACCUUCUUUCUUCGUUGCAGCAGAUUCAACCUGUUUAUAUGCCUUUGAGAUUUCUUCAACAGGUAUCAAAGGGAUAUAGCUGACAACACUAUAACCCUUCUCUUGCAAGUUAGCUACCAAAUGAUUGUACUUUUCGGACCAGUGAGCAACUGUAGGAGCAGCCAUCUGUGCGAUUCCGUGCAAUGGUGGACAAUGAUUGACAUGAUACCAGAGUACUGCCACUUGCGUAGUACCAAAUUGCUUAGACAAUUCACCAGCAUGAUAGAUAGCUGCACGAGGACCUCCCUCCUGUAUGUCUUUGGACAAGCCUUGUGCUACCUCUGAUGCCUUCUGAAACAAAGACUGGACACUGCUGACAACCUUCUUGGCCAAUGGAGGAGCAUGUUCAUCAAAUUUUGCUGUUCCAUCAUCCAACUUUUUGUCUAGGAAAACAAGGACUUCAUCAGGAACACCUUUAAAUCUAUCGUAAACAGGCCUUACGACGGUGGUUACAGCGUUUUCUACUGUACCAACAGUUGAUCUCAGAGGCCCCGAGUUCUGCUUCGCAUAAUCAUACAAAUUUGACAACAAAACUGCAGUGUUUAGAGCCAACACCCUUACAAACCCUAGAUGUUUCAAAUUAACCUCGCAUUUCUCCAUCUCAACCUUGUUGGUAGACAUAUUCUGCUGGUUGUAUGGAAGUUUGAUUUGCUCAGCUGUUGGUGAUGCAAAUGAGAAAAUUUGUUGGGUGAUAAAGGAAGUGGGGGAAUAUUUAAUUAAAAUCAAAGGGCUGUGAAGAUGACACGUGUCG